Neofelis nebulosa (Clouded leopard) is the source of this 240-nucleotide long non-coding RNA. RefSeq lists it as uncharacterized. The record is from RefSeq and is a predicted model, not a curated record. The transcript has 3 exons. Lineage: Eukaryota; Metazoa; Chordata; Mammalia; Carnivora; Felidae.
GUGGAGUAAACAGAAACUCAGAAGGGACUGGCACAAGAGCAUAUUCUGCAAAGCGGCAGAUGGACAUAAGUCUUUGGUUUUCCCUAUGUGCUGGGAGUGAAUGCGAUCCUUUUCUGCAAUUUGACCAGGGAUUGUACUCAGAGAAGGUACAUUAAAGCUGGAAGACCAAUUGGACUUAAAUAGUCCAUGACUUUCGUGCUAUGGACAAGAGAGCUGAGACCAGCCUGGGUUAAGAGGCAC